UUGGUGUGUUGCUGUGAGGCCUGGUGACCU
This 30-nucleotide non-coding RNA is filed under the name Homo sapiens (human). The record is from RNAcentral. Lineage: Eukaryota; Metazoa; Chordata; Mammalia; Primates; Hominidae.